ACCAUGAAAGAUCUAGGGAAAACAUUCAAGAUUGAGGGAGGAGCGGCGGAGACUCACCUUGGCCGACAAUGGGAGAGAAAAAGCUCACCCGUGCGGACCAAAGGGACCCUUUUAUAUGUGGCUGGCCAGGCCACGUUCGGGGGCCGAAUGUGCCUCCGUAUCCAUGCAAUGUUCGGCGGCCGAAAGUCAAGUUCGGCGGCCGAACCUGGGUUUUCCUUCAAGCUACAUUCAUGCAAAAACUCAUUUAAUUUCUUACUUAAAAACAUGAAAUACAUGAAAACAUUUCA
RNAcentral lists this long non-coding RNA (287 nucleotides) under Manihot esculenta (cassava). Its description in RNAcentral is "long non-coding RNA (MESC_LNC009614)". The record is from RNAcentral. Lineage: Eukaryota; Viridiplantae; Streptophyta; Magnoliopsida; Malpighiales; Euphorbiaceae.